Molecule: ribosomal RNA, 321 nt
Filed under: uncultured Chloroflexota bacterium
Lineage: Bacteria; Bacillati; Chloroflexota
Description: bacterial SSU rRNA
Rfam family: Bacterial small subunit ribosomal RNA
Source: RNAcentral
GAUGAACGCUGGCGGCGUGCUUAAUACAUGCAAGUCGAACGGAGACAGUAGCAAUAUUGUCUUAGUGGCGAACGGGUGAGUAACGCGUUGGUGACCUGCCCCGAAGAGAGGGAUAACAGUUCGAAAGGACUGCUAAUACCCCAUGAUAUCUGCCCAGUUAGAGAAGGCAGAUGAAAGGAGCAAUCCGCUUUGGGAGGGGCCUGCGUCCCAUCAGCUAGUUGGUAAGGUAAAAGCUUACCAAGGCGAAGACGGGUAGGGGACCUGAGAGGGUGACCCCCCACACUGGCACUGAAACACGGGCCAGACACCUACGGGUGGCAG